Felis catus (domestic cat) is the source of this 4024-nucleotide long non-coding RNA. RefSeq lists it as uncharacterized. The transcript is spliced from 3 exons. Lineage: Eukaryota; Metazoa; Chordata; Mammalia; Carnivora; Felidae. The record is from RefSeq and is a predicted model, not a curated record.
GGCUCUGGAAAAGCAUAAAAAAUGUUUAAGUGUUAAGUACAAAAUGAAACCCAUAUAAAGGCAAAUCGGUUAGAAAAAUAUACCUUAAGUCAAGGGUCAUGAUUUUAAAGUGGUGUGAUGGAAAGCAUAGAGUUUUAAAUCAUAUGUUUUAAGUCACUUAUUGUUUGGGAGACCCUGGGCAAGUGACUUAACUGUUAUGGGUCUCAGUUUCUAUAUAAAAUAGAAAUAAUAUCUUGUGGUCUGUAUGGAAAAUUCUGAGCUUCAAUUUUCCUUUUUUUAAAUGGGGAUAACAAUAUCCCAUCUUACUGGGUUGUUGGGAGAAUUAAAUGAGCUUAUACAUGAAAGCACUUAGCAUUAUGUCUGUUGCAUAAUAAUUAAAUAUGAGUCAGCUAUUACAAUUAAUAGGCUAAUAUAUUUUGUUCAUAGUAUGUAUUAUUCUCUGAAAUUAUCUUUUUUUUUUUGUUUUUUUAAGUUCCAUGAGGCAAGAGCUUUAUGCCUGGUUCACCCCUAGAAUUUAGAAUAAGUGCCUGGUACACAGGCACUAUUUUGGCUCUUUUCUCCAAUACAUCACUGCAGUUACUCUUGACCAUCAUGCUACCAAAUCUGAAAGACAACCCAUCCUCUCUAUUCAGCACCCUGGGUGAAUUCUUUAAAAUUUAAAUCAGAUCUCACUCCCCUGCUUAACACACUUCAAAGGAUAUCUUAGCAUUUAGAAUAAAUCUAAACUCUUUCUCGUGGCUACAUGUCCUGUGUGCUCUGGGCCCUCUGGCCUCAUUAUGUCAGUUUCUAUGUUCCAGUGCCACUGGCUCUGUGUCAGUUCCUAGACCAUGCCAAGCUCUUUCAGCCUCAGGGACUUUGCAUUUGCUGUUCUCUCCACCUAGAAUACUCCUCUCCAAGUUUCUUACAUGGCUGGCUCCUUUUUUUUUUUUUAAUCUUCAUUUAUUUUUGAGAGACAGGCAGAGUGCGAGCCGGGGGAGGGGCAGAGAGAGAGGGAGACACAGAAGCAAGCUCCAGGCUCUGGGCUGUCAGCGCAGAGCCCGAUGUGGGGCUUGAACUCACGAACUGUGAGAUCAUGACCUGAGCUGAAGUUAGAUGCUUAACUGACUGAGCCACCCAGGCACCCCUGGCUCCUUCUAAGUAUAGUAGUUAGCAACACAGAUUUUGAAACCAGAGUGCUUAGGUUCCCAUUUUUGCUCUAUCACUUAACACCUGUAUGAGCCAAGAUACUUAAUCUCUAGAUUGUGCCUCAGAUUCUUCAUCUUUAAAAACAGAGAUAAAAUAUGUACCUCAUUAGGUUGCUGAAUGUAAAGAGUUAAUAUAAGGUGCUUUGAACAGUGCCUAGCAAGCACCACCAUGACCACCAUCUUUCAGCUUAAAUACUGCCUCCUCAGAGACCCUGUUCUUUAUCAGAACACCUAGUACUCAUCACAAUCUGUCAAUAUUUUUUUUGUUGUUGUUUACUGUUUGUACUCCACAAGCGGGGAAUUUGUCUUACUUAACUACUAUAUGCUCAGAACCUAGCACAAUGCCUGAUACAGGUACUCAGUAAGUAUAUGCUGAAUGAUUACAAAAGUAGUUAUAGUAUUAUUAAUAUUUUUUUGCCACCUGUAAGAAAGGUCCAGAGCUGUGCCAAGGCAGCAAAGAGGAGAGCUGGGAUCUGUACCUGGGUUCCAACCACCCAGCUCGGAUGAAUGAUGGUUACAAGGUGUUCUGUAAACAACAACAGGUAUAUCUCUGAUAUUCUCUUCUUCCAGAUGUUAACUCAUCUGUCACAGUUUGCUGACGUUGCAUCUCCUGCUUGAAGCUUCCUCUGCUCAAGCCCACCUUUGGCUUAGUGGAGCUCCCACAGCACUCAGUAUUCAUUUCUUGGCUGAGUCUUAUUUUUAAUGUUUCUGCACUGUUUCUUCCACAUAUCAUCUUAACUGAUGAUGCCCUGCUCUUAACUCAUUUGCACUUCCUCACUGUUCCUGAGCACCUCGUGCACCUCUGGGCCCCCAGAAUGUGCUCAGCACAAGUUUGGAGAGUGACCACUGCUGCCGCCUUUUCAGGAAUCUGGCCUGGGGCAGCUUUGCAUUGUGCCCAUGCUUUCAUGGAAGAGAUGAGGACUCUAGGAGAGGGGGGUCAGCCAGCUGUUCUCUUACCUGAUCUGUUGUGGCUGGCGGUGGCAAAGCUGUAGAGAGUGAAAGGAUCCGCAGGGAGGCCUCCAACUGCUGAGAAGGCAAAAAGAAGUUGGGCACCACAAUGGGUUCCGGGCUAUAAUGGUAGUUAAGGGGCACAGAUACAUUGAAAUCUGCCCCCCUUGCCAGACUGGCAUCUCCACUGGCCUUAGUCAUCCCUACUUGUCCAAUUUAUUCUUGUACAGUAGUGCCUUCUGUCUGGAAGGCCCUGCCCACCCCUAACAAGUUGCAGUCUAUACUUUCUGCAAGGGUCAGUUAAAAUCCUUCCUCUCCUAAUGUUAGACCUCAGUGAUCCCUCCUUCCCCUCAUUAUUUCCCUAGAGCCCUGCAUGAGGCUGGUACGCAGCAACAUUUAAAUGAUACUUGCUGAGGUCCUGCUGACCCACAACUGACCCGUUAGAAGCCAGUCAGACAGGGUUGGGUUGGAAGGUGGCCCCAAGGACAGUGUCUUAGGCUGGAGGGAGAUGCCUGACACUGAAGGAGGCUGGUCCUCCCAGUUGUCCUCUGCCAACAUCCAGGAAUGAGGGCUCUACAUGAGGGGCUGUCUGUGGAUAUAGCUGGUUCACCCAGUCUGCAUCUGAGCCCUAGAAGUCAAGUACCACAUCUUAUACUUUUCCUGGUACUAGAUGUACCCAGUACUGUGCUGAGAACAUGGUGUUUCCAAAAAUAUUUGUUCAAUCAAAGCACUGAUUCAGUUUGGGAGGGGACUACUUUGAUGUUCCAAUUUUUUGUUUCUGUUCAAUAAGCUAAAUAUGGUUCUGGUUCAAAUUGUUUUAUCAUGGUUCUUCCAUGCUAGAAUUUAAGCUCCAAGAGGGCAGAGAUUAUUCGUCUCUUUUUCAGUCAUGUUCCUGUCACCUAGCACAGUACCUGGGACAUAGUAAGUUUUUAAUAAGUAUCUACUGAAUGAAGCGUAUCCUCAAGGCUCCAUUUUGUGUGGGUGGUUCUCCUUUUCCAUGCUCUGCCUGCUCCCCUUAUCUAUUUCCGGAGACACCUACCUUUAUAGCUGGCCUCCUCUUGGAUGUCUUGUAGGCAUAUGUCCAAAAUGGAAAUCUGUACCUUCCUCCAAAACUAUCUGUCUUUAUGUGCUAGUCCCUAUCCAGUCAAUGACAUCACUUACCUAGCAACUUGUAACAGAACUCUCUAAGUCUACUUUGUAUUUGUUUUUCUCUUCCUUGCGCCUAAUUCUGUCCCAUCUAUGAUGUAGAUUAGAUUAGCCAGGCAUAAAAGGCUCUUUAAGAUGUAGCCCUGCCUCACCGCUCACCAUCUCAUGUACCCCUGGACUCUGAGCAGAGUGAACUGCUCCCCACAGGUCAGGCUCUUUCACCUGGCUAUGCCUCUGCAUACACAGUUCACUAUAACUAGAAUUUUCUCGUUUGUUUACAGGAUGUCUAUUCAUCUUUGAGGUCCAGCUCCACUGUCUCUCUUCCCGGGAUACAUCCAGUGUUGUGGCAGCUUCCUCCUCUUGCUCCCUAGCAUUUUGUGCAGGUUUCAUCACAACACCUAGAACAAUAAAUUCUAUCACUGCCUGUCUCCUGCCUCAUGAUAGGAACUUCUUAAGGGAGUGAGUAGAUGUAUGAAAAUGGAACAUCUCUACCUGCAAACAGGAACAGGAACCAGGAAGGAACAGUCUGCUGUGUUCUACCAUCAAAUCCAAAUUAAAUAAGAGAAUACAAAGCUGAUCCUUAAUCUGUCAUUAGAAGCCACGACUCUCUCAAAUCACAGUGGAUUUACGGACUUCAAGCUGUAUUACAAAGCUGUAAUCAUCAAGACAGUAUGGUCCUGGGACAAGAAAAGACACUCAGAUCAAUGGAACAAAAUAGAGAACCCAGAAAUGGACCCACAAAUAUA